GGAACCGCCUAAGACACCACCCCAGCCAGCAUGGCCGGCAGGAGCGCACCGCGCUGUCUCCCUCCAGGGAUCCGCACCGCCCUACAAUCCUGCUUUGUGCUGAGAUUGUAGUCCUGCAGGCGUACAACUAACAAGCUGGGUGCAGAUAAGAGACUACAGCUCCCCGCAUCCCAAGCAAAGGUCCCUCCUCUACGGAGCCCCUCCACGCGUCCACUGCGGUUCCGCCGUGCCAAGGGGAGCUUGGCUGUUCACGGGCCUCACCUGCUAGCGAGAAGAUAGCUUGGCCGGGCGGCUGAUCUCACCUUGUAAUUCUGACACUGUGUCUCCCGGGCUUGUCGGCUUCAUGACUUGUGCCCAAAGUUUGAUUUCUCGCAGACCAGGUAAAAGCCAAGAGGCUCUCAUAGGCGCCUUGGCAGAGUUGCCAUUGGAACGGGCGUCCUCUAGUAGCUGGGAUCUCCCCGCCCCUUCCUCCUGAGGGGCCACUCCUUUCUGCCCCACCCUUCUUAUUGCCCCACCCUUUGCCACACUCCUUCAGAGAUGCGCAGUGCUGCCCCUUUCUAUGGGCAGGGCCGAAGGUCCGCGUGUAAAAGUACCCAGUCCCUGGUAACCUGACACUUCCCUUUUAAAAGCCACCUUUUGUCUAUCUCUGGCCUGCCACGAUUCUUCCUGUGCUCCAUAGGAGGACCCAUUGGACCCCCGGGCUGGCUGCAGGGCCCACACCUGGGUUAGACCUCGCACAGGGACGCUGCUGCCACUGUAAUAAAGCGUGCCUACACGCUUCUGAAACUGGUGUAGGAACAACCUCAGUUCUGUGAAAGGCGGACGCAGCAGGACAGAAUCUCCGUGGACAUCUGUCUGGAGGAGCAAUUUUACUGCGACAUUUUAAAGAAACAAAUUUAAUUGAUUUCCAAGGGUGUCCAUCGCGCUUCCUUCACUGCCUUGAUCAUGUCGGGGUCACCACCUGCGGGGGUUUGUCCUGCAGACCCUGACUCAACGACGGAUGAAUAAUGUACACUGACACAGAUCUUAUGCUUGUCAGUCCUGCUGAGCAUCCAGGCCACUUACAGACUCCAAGAAGAGUCCUGUCAGCCACGGCUCUGACUUGUUGGCCCUCCCGGCAUUUAUUUAGCACACAUUUAAUGACAGAAGUCUCAGGCUGGAAACACUCUUUUUGUAGAACAUACAAAUGGACAUUUCUAAGCACAUUGAGGCCUAUAAUGAAAAAUCAAAUAUCCCACAAUGAAAACUAGAAGGAAGCUAUCUGUGAUAAUGCUUUGUGGUGUAUGGAUUCAUCUCACUGACUGAAACCUGAGUUUUGAUUCACCAGGUUAAAAACACUAUUUUUGUAGACUCUACGAAGAAACAUUUCUGAAACCAUUGAAACCUAUGGGGGAAAAAAACCCCCGAAAUUCCUGUGAUAAGAAAUGGAAAGCAGCUAUCUGUGAAAAUGCUUUGUAAUGUGUGGAUUCUUCUCACAGAGUUAAACCUUUGUUCUGAUUCAACAUUGUUCAGAACACUCUUUUUGUAGAAUCUACAGAGAUACUUUUUAGCAUUUUGAGGCCUCUAGUGAAAAACCGAAUGUCCUGCAAUAGAAACUGGAAACAACCUUCUGUGAAAAUGCUUUGUGAUUCGUCUAUUCAUCUCAAAGAAUGAAACUUGUGCUUUGAUUCAACAGGUUGGAAAACCCUUUUUGUAGAAUCUACGUAGGAACAUUUCUGAGCCCAUUGAGGCCUCUAGUGAAAAAACUGAAUAUCCCAGAAUUAAAACUAUAAACAAGCUAUCUGUGAAGAAGCUUUGUAAUAUGUGCAUUCAUCUAACAGAUAUAAGCGUGUAUUUUGAUUUGCCUGGUUGGGAACACUCUUUUUGUACAGUCUAUAAAGAAACAUUUCUGAGUGCAUUGAGUCAUAUGUUGAAAAAUCGAAUAUCUCGUGAUAAAAACUAGGCAGGAGGUAUCUGUGAAAAUGCUUUGAGAUGUGUGGGUAUUGGCCUCACAGAGUUAAACUUUUGUUUUGAUUCAACAGUUUGGAAACAUACUUUGUAGAAUCUACAAUGACAUAUUUCUGAGCCCAUUGAGGCCUGUAGUGAAAAACCGAAUAUCCCAUGAUAAAAACUCAAAACAAGCGAUAUGUGAAAAUGCUUUGUGACGUGUGGUUCAUCUCAUAGAGUUAAACCUGGUUUUGAUCCACUACAUUGGAAACACUCUUAUUGUAGAAUCUACAAAAAAAAAUUUCUGAGACCAUUGAGGUCUCUAGUGAAAAACUGAAUAUCCCAUGAUAAAAACUAGAUACAAGCUAUCUGUGAAAAUGCUUUGCAAUGUGUGGAUUUGUCUCACAAAGUUAAACCUGUGUUUGAUUCAACGGGUUGGAAACACUUUUUUUGUAGAAUCUAUGAAGAAACAUUUCUGAGACCAUUGAAGCCUAUAGUAAAAAAUUGAAUAUCCUGUGAUAUAAAUGAGAAACAAGUUAUCUACGAAAAUGUAUAUUAAUCUCACUGAAUGCAACCUGUGUUUUACUUCACCAGGUUAAAGAUGCUCUGUUGGUAAAAUCUGUGAAGGGACAUUUCUGAGCACAUUGAGGCCUAUAGUGAAAAAACGAAUAUCCUGCUAUAAAAACUAGAAACAAGCUAUGUGUGAAAAUGCUUUGCAAUGUGUGGAUUCACCUCACAGAUUUAAACCUUUGUUUUGUUUCAACAGGUUGGAAACACUCUUUUUGUAGUUGAACGAAGGGACAUUUUUGAGUCCCUUGAGGCCUAUAGUAAUGAACAGAAUAUCCUGCAAUAAAAAUUAGAAAGAAGUUAUCUGGGAAAAUGCUUUGUGUUGUGUGGACUUAUCUCACAGUGUCAAACUAUUGUUUCCAUGCAACACUAUAAAUGCACACUUUUUGUAGAAUCUAUGAGGGGACAUUUCUGAGCCCAUUGAGGCCUAUAAAGAAAAACCAAACUUCCCAUGUUAAAAGCUAGAAACAAGCUAUUUGCGAAAAUGCUUUAUGGUAUGUGGAUUCAUCUCAUUGAAUGAAACCUGUGUUUUGAUUCACCACGUUUGAAACACUCUUUUGAUAGAAUCCACGAAGGGACAUUUCACUGUAUGAGGCAUAUAGUGAAAAACCAAAUAUCUCAUGAUGAAAACUAGAAAGAAGCUAUUUGUGAAAAUGCUUUCUGAUGUUUAGAUUCAUGUCAAAGAGUUACACCAUUUUUUUGAUUCAACAGGUUUGAAACACUUUUUUUUAGAAUCUAUGAGGGACAUUUCUGAACAAAUUGAGGAGUGUAGUGAAAAACCGAAUAUCCCACUGUAAAAACUACAAACAUUCUGUCUGUGAACAUACUCCCAACUGACCCUGGGUAUUCUAAUAUGAGAGACUCCUGGCUGACCCCAGGCAGUCUAAGGAUAGAGACUCCUGGCAGACUGCAGGCAUUCUAAUGACAGAGACACCUGUGCAACUCCAGGCAUCUUAAUGAAAGAGACUUUAUGCCGACCUUAGGCAUUCUUGUGAUAGGGGCAACUGUGCGUCUUAAGACAUUUUUAUGAGAGAGACUCCAGGCUGACCCCAGGCAUUCUAAGGAGAGAGACUUCUUGCAGAAUUCAGAUACUGUAACGAUAGAGACACUGGGGCAACCUCCAACAUUCUAAUGAGAGGGACUUCUGGUCUACCACGGGCACUUCAAUGAUAAAGACAGUUUUUCGACCCCUAGCAUUUUAAUAGGAGAGACUGCCAGCCAAAACCAGGCAUUCAAACUGGAGAGACACCCAGCCAACCACAGGCAGUCUAAUGUUAGAGACGCCUGGAUGAUCACAGGCAUUAUAAUGGGAGAAACUGAAUGCCAAACGCAGGCAGUCUAAUGUUGGAGAUACCCAGCCAACCCCAGGCAUUUUAAUACAAAAGACUCCUGGUCGACCCCAGGCAUUCCAAUGAUAGAGACACUGUGGCGACCCAAGGUAAUCUACUGGGAGAGACUCCCUGCCAACCCCAGUGAUUCUAAUGGGAGAGACUGCUGGCUGACACCAGGCAGUCUGAUAGAAACCCCUGGGCAACCCCAGGCAUUCUAAUGAAAGUGAUUCCUGGCUGAACUUAGGCAGGCUAAUAACAGAGACAUCUGGGUGACCCCAGGCAUUCUAAUGGUACAGGCUCCCGGGAAAUUCCAGGCAUUCUAAUGGGAGAGACUCUUGGCCGACUACAGGCAGUUUAAGGAUAGAAACACCUGGGCGACCACAGGCAUUUUAAUGGAAAGACUCCAUGCUGACCCAAGGCAGCCUAAUUACAGAAACACCGGGUGACCCCAGGUAUUCUAAUGGAAGAGACUCCCGGUGGACCCCAGGCAGUCUAAUGAUAGAGACACCUGGGCAACCACAGGCAUUCUAAUGGGAGAGACUCCCAGCAGAGCCCAGGCAAUCAAAUGAUACACCUGGGCGACCCCAAAUAUUCUAAUAGAAGAGACUCCUAGCCAACCCCAGGCAUUCUAGUAAGAGACUUCUAGCCGACAAAAGGCAGUCUUAGGUUAGAGACACCUAGGCAACCUCAGGCAUUCUAAUGGGAGAGAUUCAUUGCUGACCCCUGUUAGUCUAACGAUAGAGUCACCUGGGGAACCUCAGUCAUUCUAAUGAGAUAGACUCCUGCCGAACCCAAGCAGUCUAAUUAUAAAGACAUUUCGGUGACCCAAGGCAUUCUAAGGAAAGAGACUCCUGGUGGAUCCCAGGCAGUCUAAUAAUAAAGACACCUGAGCAACCCCAGGCAUUCUAACGGAAGAGACUCCCAGCUGACCCCAGGCAGUCUAAUGAUAGAACUCCUGGGCAAACCCAGGCAUUCUAAUGGGAGAAACUUCUGGCCAAACCUAGGCAGUAUAAUUAUAUAUGCCAAAUCGACCCCAGGCAUUUUAAGGGGAGUGACUCCCAGCCGACUCCAGGCCGUCUAAUGAUAGAGACACCUGGGUGACCCUAGGCAUUCUAAUGGGAGGGACUCACCGCCGACCCUGGGCAUUCUAAUGGGAGAGACUCGUGGCCUACCCCAGGCAGUCUAAUGAUAGAGACACCUGAAAAACCCCAGGAAUUCUAGUGGGAGAGACACCCGACCAACUGCAGGAAAUCUAAUGAUAGAGACAACUGGGUGACUGCAGGCAUUUUAAUGGAAGAGACUCUCAGAUGACUUGACGUUUUAAUGAUAGAGACACCUGGGCAUCCCGAGGCAUUCUAAUAGGAGAGACUUCCAGCCAAACCCAGGCAUUCUUUUGAAAGAGAUGUCUGGCUGACCCCAGGCAGUCUGAUUAUAGAGACACCUGGGUGACCUCAGGAAUUUUAAUUGGAGAGAUUCCCGGCUGAUCACAGGCAGUCUAAUGAUAAAGUCAUCUAUGUGACUUAAGACAUUCUAAUGGGAGAGACUCCAGACCGACAUCAGACAUUCUAAUAAUAGAGACACCUCUGUGACUCCAGGCAUUCUAACGGGAGAGACUCUGGGCCGACACCAGGCAUUCUAAUAAAAAAGACUCCUGGCUGACCAUAGACUCUCUAAUGAUAGAGACAUCUGAACGACCCUUGGCAUUCUAAUAAUAGAGACUCCCGGCUGACCUCAGGGACCCUAAUGGUAGAGACACCUAGCUGAUGCAGGCAGUCUUAUGAUAGAGACACUUCGAUGACCGGAGACGUUCUAAUAAGAGAGAUUCCUGGUUGAACCCAGGCAUUCAAAUGAUAGACACCUUAUCGAGGACAGGCAUUUUAAUGGGAGAGACUCCCGCCAAACCGCAGGCAGUUUAAUAAAGAAAUAGGGAUGAAUACAGGUAUUCUAAUGAGAGACACUCCUGGCUGACUUCAGGCAGUCUAACAAUAGAGACACCUGGGAGAGCCCAGGUAUUCUAAUGGGAGAGAUUGCUGGCUGAACACAGGCAGUCAAACUGUAGAGGAAUCUAAGCCACCCAAGGCAUUUUAAUAGGAGAGCCUACCAGCUGACCCCAGGCAGUCUAAUGAUAGAGACACCUGGGCGAACCCAGGCAUACUAAUGGGAGAAACUCCCAGAUAACUCAAGGCAUUUUAAUAAGAGACAAUCUUGGCGGACCCCAGGCAGUCUAAUGUUCACAACUGGGCAACCACAGGCAUCCUAAUGGGAGAGACUACAGGACAAGCCCAGGCAUGCAAAUAAUAGAUACACGUAUGCGACCCCAAGCAUUCUAAUGAGAGAGAAUUCCAACUGACACCAGAUAUUCUAAUGGGAGAGACUCCUGCCUGACCCCAGGCAGUCUAAUAAUACAGACACCUGGAUGACCUCAGGCAUUCUAAUUAGAGAGACUUCUGUACAAACCCAGGCAAUCCAUGCAUAGAGACACCUAGGUGACCCCAGCCAUUCUAAUGGGGGAGAUUCCCAACUGACCACAGGCAGUCUAAUGGUAGAGGCACUUGGGUGACCCCAGGCAUCCUAAUAGUGGAGACUUCCAAAGGACCCCAGCCAAUCUAAUGUUAGAGACACCUGGGUGACACCAGGCAUUCUUAUGGGAGAUACCCUCCACUGACCCCAGGAAUUCUAAUAAUAGUGACACCUGGGAUACCACAGGCAUUCUAAUGGGAGAGACUGCUGGCUGACACCAGGCAUUCUCAUAAUAGAGACACCUGGGGGACUCCACUCCAGGCAUUCUAAUGGGGGAAACUCUCAGAUGACCCCAAGCAAUCUAAUGUUAGAGAGAGCUGUGCAACCACAAACAGUCUAAUGUUAGAGACACGUGGGUGACCCCAGUCACUCCAAUGGGAGAGACUCACAGAUGACAGAAAGCAUUCUAAUGGGAGAUACUCGUGGUCAACCCCAGGCAGUCUAAUGCUAGAGACACUGAUUGAGCCCAGUGAUUGUAAUGGGAGAGACUAAUGGUCGAACACAGGCAGUCUAAUAGUAGAGACACUUAGGUGAUCCUAGACAUUCUAAUGGAAAAGACUAUCAUCUGACCCCAGGCAUUCUAAUAAUACAGAAACCUGGGUGACCUAAGGCAUUCUAAUGGGAGAGACUUCCAUCUGAACCCUGGCAUUCUAAUGGGAAAGACACCAAGCCAGCCCAGGCAGUCUAAUGAUAGAGACAUCUGUGUAACCACAGGCAAUCUAAUGAAAGAGACUCCCGGCCAAUCGCAGGCAGUAUAAUGACAGAGAAAUCUGAACGACUGCAAGUAUUUUAAUGGGAGACACUUCUGGCUGACCCCAGGCAGUCUAAUAAUAGAGACACCUGAUGGACCCCAAGCAUUCUAAUAGAAGAGACUUCGAGCUGACCCCAGGCUGUCUAAUUAUAAAGACAUCUGGGCUACCUUGGUAAUUCUAAUGGGUAAGACUCCUGGCCAACCACAGGCAAUUCUAAUGGAAGAGACUCCUGACUGACACCAGGCAGUCUAAUAAUAGAGAAACCUGGGCAAUCCCAGACAUUCUUAUGGGAGAGACUGCUGGCUGAACCCAGCAGUCUAAUGAUAGAGACACAUGAGCAAACCCAAACAUUCUAAUGGGAGAGAUUCCCAGCCAAUUCCAUGCAUUCUAAUGAAAGAUCUCCUGGCCAACCCCAUGCAGUCUUAAAAUAGACACCUGGGCGACACCAGGCAGUCGAAUAAGAGAGACUCCUGGCUGACACCAAGCAGUCUAAUGGCAGAGACACCUGGGCCACCCCAGGCAUUCUAAAAAAAAAGAAUCCCAACUGACAUGAAGCAGUCUAAUGAUAGACAACUGGGCACCACAGGCAUUCUAAUGGGAGAGACUCCCAGUCGAUUCCAGACAUUCUAAUUUGAGAGAAUUUGGGAGAUGCCAGGCAUUCUCAUUGGAGAUAUCAGCGACCGACCUGCACCAGACUAAUGAUGAAAAUGCAUCCACGAACCCAGGCAUUCUAAUGGGAGGGGCUCUGGGAGACCUCAUGCAGUCUAAUGAAAAAGACACCUGGAUGACCUUAGACGUUCUAAUGGGAGAGACUCUGGUCCAACCCUAGACUGCCUAAGGUUAGAGACACCUGGUCAACCCCAGACAUUCCAAUGAAAGAGACUCCUGGCCCAAUUCAGGCAGUCUAAUGAUAGAGACACCAAUGUCACACUAAGCAUUUUAAUGUGAGAGACUCCUGGCUGAGACCAGGAAGUCUAAUUAUAGAGACACCUGGGCAACCCCAGGCAUUCUAACGGGAGAGACUUCAGGCUGACCCCAGGCAGUCUAAUGAUAGAGAAACCUGGGCGACUCCAGGCAUAAUAAUGGGAGAGACUGCUGGCUGACCCAAGGCAGUAUAAUGAUAGAGACCCCUGGGCAUGCUAUCUGUGAAAAUGCUUUAGGAUGUGUGGAUUAGUCUCACCAAAUGGAACCUGUGUAUUGAUUCACCAGGUUGAAAACACUCUUGCUGUAGAAUCUAUAAAGGGAUAUUUCUAAGACAAUGUAGGCCUAUAGUGACAGACCGUAUAUUUUGCAAUAAAAAAUAGAAACAAGCUAUCUGUGAAAAUGCUUCAUGAAAUGUGGAUUUAUUUCAAUGAGUUAAAACUUUGUUUUGAUUCAAUAGGCUGGAAAGCCUCGUUUUGUAGUAUCUACGAAAAGAAAUUUCUGAGCUCAUUGAGACUGGUAGUGAAAAAUCUAAUAUCCUGUGAUAAAAAGUAUAAAAACGCUAUGUGUGAAAAUGCUUUGCCAUAUGUGAGUUCAUCUCCAACAGUUAAAACUUUGUUUUGAUUCAACAG
This 8649-nucleotide long non-coding RNA is filed under the name Homo sapiens (human). RNAcentral's name for it is "HSALNT0257707". The record is from RNAcentral. Lineage: Eukaryota; Metazoa; Chordata; Mammalia; Primates; Hominidae.